GGGGCACAUAUAGAUUGCUUGCAAUUUAUGAUGGCGACCGGCGCACGGGUGAGUAACGCGUAUCCAACCUACCCAUUACUAGGGAAUAACCCAGCGAAAGUUGGCCUAAUGCCCUAUGUAGUCGUUUGAUCGCCUGAGAUUUCGACGAAAGAUUUAUCGGUAUUGGAUGGGGAUGCGUCUGAUUAGCUUGUUGGCGGGGUAAAGGCCCACCAAGGCAACGAUCAGUAGGGGUUCUGAGAGGAAGGUCCCCCACAUUGGAACUGAGACACGGUCCAAACUCCUACGGGAGGCAGCAGUGAGGAAUAUUGGUCAAUGGGCGAGAGCCUGAACCAGCCAAGUAGCGUGCAGGAUGACGGCCCUAUGGGUUGUAAACUGCUUUUAUAUGGGAAUAAAGUGAGGGACGUGUCCCUUAUUGCAUGUACCAUACGAAUAAGGACCGGCUAAUUCCGUGCCAGCAGCCGCGGUAAUACGGAAGGUCCAGGCGUUAUCCGGAUUUAUUGGGUUUAAAGGGAGCGUAGGCUGUUUGUUAAGCGUGUUGUGAAAUGUAGGAGCUCAACUUUUAGAUUGCAGCGCGAACUGGCAGACUUGAGUGCGCACAACGUAGGCGGAAUUCAUGGUGUAGCGGUGAAAUGCUUAGAUAUCAUGACGAACU
Molecule: ribosomal RNA, 652 nt
Filed under: uncultured bacterium
Lineage: Bacteria
Description: bacterial SSU rRNA
Rfam family: Bacterial small subunit ribosomal RNA
Source: RNAcentral